UACUCGUGAAAACAAGAUAUAUUCAGCCUCUUAGUUGUUUCUUACCCUGAUUGCUAUAACAUUGUGCAUAAAAUUUUGGUUUCUUAAAAAAACCUUGAAUUAGUACCUAGCUGUCUUGAAGAUGUUUUCUGCCCAAUUAUUUUUAGUUGGUUGAAUUUGACUAAUGUGAUAAAUCUGCCUAUGUACUAGUAGUUUGGCUGCAAAAAAAAGGAUACUUUUUUUAAAGAAAAUUUUGAUAAGCACUUGAAGAAAAAAUAAUGGUCCUCCAGAUCAGUAGAUACAGUAUUGUUCCCCCCUCAACAACAUUUUGAAUCUGUUCUGGAUUCAUGCUUGUUAGAAAGCACUUUUUAUUUUCCACUUAACGGUACUUGUUUAUUAAGAAUUAACUUCUAGGAUCUUAAGCCCCUGCCUGUAAUAAAAAGUGAGAAUGAUUCUAUUUGCCCAAACGUCAGGGCAACUGCUUAACUAGGAUACAAAACCUAUGCAACUGAUCUCAAUUUGUUUUUCACUUUGAUAGUUAAGAGUUUUUAUCUUCUUCUUGAGUUUUCACAAACCUAUAGGAGCUCUGGAGGGUCACGUUUCAAUUUGCGUAAGCUUAAAUUGCACUAGCAAAC
RNAcentral lists this long non-coding RNA (614 nucleotides) under Phoenix dactylifera (date palm). Its description in RNAcentral is "long non-coding RNA (PDAC_LNC020616)". Lineage: Eukaryota; Viridiplantae; Streptophyta; Magnoliopsida; Arecales; Arecaceae. The record is from RNAcentral.